GCUAGUAUAGUGUAAUGGCUAACAUACCUCAUUCACAUUGAGGAGAAUGGGGUUCGAUUCCCCUCACUAGAG
Non-coding RNA from Hypoxylon sp. FL1150, 72 nucleotides. Lineage: Eukaryota; Fungi; Ascomycota; Sordariomycetes; Xylariales; Hypoxylaceae. The record is from the annotation of a GenBank genome assembly.